Molecule: ribosomal RNA, 433 nt
Filed under: uncultured bacterium
Lineage: Bacteria
Description: partial 16S ribosomal RNA
Rfam family: Bacterial small subunit ribosomal RNA
Source: RNAcentral
AGCGAACGCUGGCGGCAGGCCUAACACAUGCAAGUCGAACGAACUCUUAGGAGUUAGUGGCGGACGGGUGAGUAACACGUGGGAACGUGCCUUUAGGUUCGGAAUAACUCAGGGAAACUUGAGCUAAUACCGGAUGUGCCCUUCGGGGGAAAGAUUUAUCGCCUUUAGAGCGGCCCGCGUCUGAUUAGCUAGUUGGUGAGGUAAAGGCUCACCAAGGCGACGAUCAGUAGCUGGUCUGAGAGGAUGAUCAGCCACAUUGGGACUGAGACACGGCCCAAACUCCUACGGGAGGCAGCAGUGGGGAAUCUUGCGCAAUGGGCGAAAGCCUGACGCAGCCAUGCCGCGUGAAUGAUGAAGGUCUUAGGAUUGUAAAAUUCUUUCACCGGGGACGAUAAUGACGGUACCCGGAGAAGAAGCCCCGGCUAACUUCGUG